Molecule: small RNA, 799 nt
Filed under: Arabidopsis thaliana (thale cress)
Lineage: Eukaryota; Viridiplantae; Streptophyta; Magnoliopsida; Brassicales; Brassicaceae
Description: ATSL215780
Source: RNAcentral
AUCAAAAUAUAUUUUCCACACUAACUAUUUAUAAUCUAAAGAUUUAUUUUACGUAUAAAGUAGGAUUUUUGAUGACAAAAAAAAAAGUAUAAAGUAGGGUUUUAGGGCCUGACUGGUUUAAACGCAGCGGGUGCAGUUGCGGUUGCGGGAGUUUGCGAAAACGGGCAGUUGCGGUUUCAAGCGUUAUCAAGCGUUUUGAACGACUGGUUGAACGUUUGAUAAUGGGUGCGUUUGCGGGAGUUUUAUGACUGGUAAACCAGCGGGUGUGAUAGUAAUUAAACAAAAAUAAACCAAAAUAAAUAUAAUAUAUUACUAUUAAAAGAAAGAAAAAAUACAAUAUAUUAUUAUGAUAAAUUCAUAAUAUUAGAAAAAUUAAACAUAAUUAAUAAUUAAAACCAUAAAUAAAACAUUAAAUUCAAAAAUAAAUAAAUUUUGUAAGAAAAAGUUUAAUACUUUAUGCAUUUGGUACAUUACCAAAAAUUGCAUCAAAUAGUGUGAUAAACUGUAAAUAACGUUGAACUCGCGGGUUUUCCGGAUUGCCUCUAUAUAAUAAAGUUUCUUCAAGAUAUCCAAACGAUUUUUAACACAUCUCCAACUAAAUUUUUUUCCAAACUGGUCGUGAAUGGAUGAACGGAUAGAUCAUACUUACGUUUGAUUCUUGAUUUUGAUUUUAAUUUUCAUCCGUUUGGGUGGAUGCCAUAAUUGAGAGAAUAGAGUUACAAUAUAUUGAUUAGGGUUUUCUAACAAGAAUAAGAUAUAUAGGGUUUGGGUGGAAGAUAUAAUUAUUUUAAUUAAUUAU